AUGGCGGAGCCCGGCCGCCCGUGGGCCCAGGCGCGUAGUGCGUACAGAGCCAGCGAGGUGCUGCGGCGCGGCACGGGCCGCCGGCGGGAUCCGGGGCCGCAAUCCAAUGGGCCGGGCCAGGAAGACGCCCGAGCCCCGGGCCGGAUGGCUCGCCUGCGCGGCCAGCUCCGGGCCGAAGCGGCUUCGCGGUCCGAGGUGCCGCGGCUGCUGAAGCUGGUGGAGCGUGCGGGGGCCGGGGCGGCCGGGCGCGGGCGAGAGGACCGGCGCGCACAGCCGCGGGCUCCGUGUGCUCGGUAUGCGGGGAGCCCCGCGGCGGGGCCACCUACCCGGCGGGGGUCCUGGAGGUGAGCGAGCGGCGGCUGCAGGAGGGCCUGGCGGCAGUGCGCGAGGAGCUGGGCGCCGGGAUUGAGGCGCUGCGCGCGGAGCUUCGAGCGGAGCUGGAUGCCCUGCGCGCGCUGCUGCCGCCGCCGCCGUCCCCGCCUGCCCGCCGCGAGCCCCGCGCCGUCCCCCGCGCCGCGCCCCGCGGCCCGACCCUGCCGCGGACGCUCGGCACCGUGAGCGCCCUGGUCGCCGCCUCCAGGCCCGCAGACGACGCCCCGGACGGCCCAGCAGAAUGCGGAGCGCACCGAGCCCCGGCCAGGAAGAACCACAAGAAGAUGCCAGUGCCGCCUGGGGCCCCGCAAGGUGGCGGGGACUGA
Homo sapiens (human) is the source of this 698-nucleotide RNA transcript. It is a transcript of the gene named family with sequence similarity 246 member C (gene/pseudogene), with no coding region annotated. The transcript has a single exon. The record is from RefSeq and is marked validated. NCBI's taxonomy places the organism in Eukaryota, Metazoa, Chordata, Mammalia, Primates, Hominidae.